GAUCUCCUAGCAGAAAUGUGAGAGACCCCUUAGAGACGAUGAGGUAGAUAGGGCAGGGGUGGAAGUGCAGCGAUGCAUGGAGCUGACUGCUACUAAUCGGUCGAAAGCUUGACCUAA
This 117-nucleotide ribosomal RNA is filed under the name Eubacterium sp. An3. Its description in RNAcentral is "partial 23S ribosomal RNA". It matches the Rfam family "Bacterial large subunit ribosomal RNA", at positions 2808 to 2925 of the family's 2925-position model. Lineage: Bacteria; Bacillati; Bacillota; Clostridia; Eubacteriales; Eubacteriaceae. The record is from RNAcentral.